AUCUAGGCCACACCACCCUGAACACGCCCCAUCUCCUCUGAUCUCGUGAAGCUAAGCAGGGUCGGGCCUGGUGAGUACUUGGAUGGAUUCUGCCUGGGAAUAGCUGGUACUGUAGGCU
RNAcentral lists this ribosomal RNA (118 nucleotides) under Nomascus leucogenys (northern white-cheeked gibbon). The record is from RNAcentral. Lineage: Eukaryota; Metazoa; Chordata; Mammalia; Primates; Hylobatidae.